RNAcentral lists this ribosomal RNA (403 nucleotides) under uncultured bacterium. RNAcentral describes it as "bacterial SSU rRNA". It matches the Rfam family "Bacterial small subunit ribosomal RNA", at positions 356 to 773 of the family's 1533-position model. The record is from RNAcentral.
AGGGAAUUUUCCGCAAUGGGCGAAAGCCUGACGGAGCAACGCCGCGUGAGUGAAGACGGCCUUCGGGUUGUAAAACUCUGUUCUUGGGGAAGAAGAAAGUGACGGUACCCAAGGAGAAAGCCCCGGCUAACUACGUGCCAGCAGCCGCGGUAAUACGUAGGGGGCGAGCGUUAUCCGGAUUUAUUGGGCGUAAAGCGCGCGCAGGCGGUCAGGUAAGUCGGAUGUGAAAGGCUACGGCUCAACCGUAGAGCGGCAUCCGAAACUGCUUGACUUGAGUGCAGGAGAGGAGAGUGGAAUUCCCGGUGUAGCGGUGGAAUGCGUAGAGAUCGGGAGGAACACCAGUGGCGAAGGCGACUCUCUGGACUGUAACUGACGCUGAGGCGCGAAAGCGUGGGGAGCAAAC